Saimiri boliviensis boliviensis (Bolivian squirrel monkey) is the source of this 701-nucleotide non-coding RNA. Lineage: Eukaryota; Metazoa; Chordata; Mammalia; Primates; Cebidae. The record is from RefSeq and is a predicted model, not a curated record.
CCGGGCGAGGCGGGUUCCUCGGCAGAGCCCACCCUGUCACUGCGGCAGCCUAUCGGCGGCACCCCGCAGGCCGCUCCUGUUCCCGCCCCCGACCCGAGCCUUUCGGGUGGCUCCGCCCACAGCGGGCGGCUUCUGAAGCCACGCCUGCGCAGGUCGUCGGCGAGUGGCCCGGGUUAGCUUCCCCAUAAGAUCUGAAACUUGUCAGCACCAUCUUCUUGAUGAUGACCUUGAGUUCUCUCAGUUACAAUGCAGUUUCUUCUUUCAACCAUGCUUCCUUGAGGAAACCCAGCCCCAGACUUCCUCCCUGGAGGCAUGGACAGAGGAUUCUCUGAAGUCAUCCUGACUGAAACAACAGAUUGAGAAUUAAUUCACUUGGGGUCAGUGCCAGGUGAUUGUCGGCUAAUGACAGAGAAGACAAAUGGAAAACAUCUGGACAUUUGAAGGGCAAUGACCAUAAACUGCUUCUCAGAUACUGGAGUCUGAGCACACCAUCUGUUGACUAAGUGAAUAGUUGACCUGAGAAGAAAGUUGCUUAAGAGGGAGGUGCCCUGAGAAAAUGCCACUGAGAGAGGAGCGUCAUCUGGGUUGGGAACCCAAAGCAAGCAAACCAUCCAGAUCCUGAGUGGGGUCAUUUUCUUGCUUUUGAUGUAGUAUGGGGAGCAUCCAGUUUUCAUAGAAUGCAGAAUAAAAUUAUACUAAUA